Molecule: ribosomal RNA, 408 nt
Filed under: uncultured Pseudomonadota bacterium
Lineage: Bacteria; Pseudomonadati; Pseudomonadota
Description: bacterial SSU rRNA
Rfam family: Bacterial small subunit ribosomal RNA
Source: RNAcentral
UGUCAACUAGUUGUCGGGGAUNGNUAGGCUUGGUAACGUAGCUAACGCGUGAAGUUGACCGCCUAGGGAGUACGGUCGCAAGGUUAAAACUCAAAGGAAUAGACGGGGACCCGCACAAGCGGGGGAUGAUGUGGAUUAAUUGGAUGCAACGCGAACAACCUUACCUACCCUUGACAUGUCGGGAACCCUGCAGAGAGGGGGGGGUGCCCGAAAGGGAACCGGAACACAGGUGCUGCAUGGCUGUCGUCAGCUCGUGUCGUGAGAUGGUGGGUUAAGUCCCGCAACGAGCGCAACCCUUGUCCCUAGGUGCUACCAUNAAGGCACUCUAAUGAGACUGGCGGGGACAAACCGGAGGAAGGGGGGGAUGACCUCAAGUCCUCAUGGCCCUUAUGGGUAGGGCUUCACACG